Molecule: ribosomal RNA, 478 nt
Filed under: uncultured bacterium
Lineage: Bacteria
Description: partial 16S ribosomal RNA
Rfam family: Bacterial small subunit ribosomal RNA
Source: RNAcentral
GACGAACGCUGGCGGCGUGCUUAACACAUGCAAGUCGAACGGUAAGGCCCUUCGGGGUACACGAGUGGCGAACGGGUGAGUAACACGUGGGUGAUCUGCCCUGCACUUCGGGAUAAGCCUGGGAAACUGGGUCUAAUACCGGAUAGGACCACUGCCUGCAUGGGGGGUGGUGGAAAGCUUUUGCGGUGUGGGAUGGGCCCGGGGCCUAUCAGCUUGUUGGUGGGGUGAUGGCCUACCAAGGCGACGACGGGUAGCCGGCCUGAGAGGGUGACCGGCCACACUGGGACUGAGAUACGGCCCAGACUCCUACGGGAGGCAGCAGUGGGGAAUAUUGCACAAUAGGCGCAAGCCUGAUGCAGCGACGCCGCGUGAGGGAUGACGGCCUUCGGGUUGUAAACCUCUUUCAGCACCGACGAAGCGCAAGUGACGGUAGGUGCAGAAGAAGGACCGGCCAACUACGUGCCAGCCGCCGCUGUAA